UGCGCAGGCGGUUGAGUAAGACAGAUGUGAAAUCCCCGAGCUUAACUCGGGAAUGGCAUAUGUGACUGCUCGACUAGAGUGUGUCAGAAGGAGGUGGAAUUCCACGUGUAGCAGUGAAAUGCGUAGAUAUGUGGAAGAACACCGAUGGCGAAGGCAGCCUCCUGGGACAUAACUGAGCUCAGGCACGAAAGCGUGGGAGCAAACA
This 205-nucleotide ribosomal RNA is filed under the name uncultured bacterium. Its description in RNAcentral is "partial 16S ribosomal RNA". It matches the Rfam family "Bacterial small subunit ribosomal RNA", at positions 568 to 774 of the family's 1533-position model. The record is from RNAcentral.